UACGAAGGGGGCUAGCGUUGCUCGGAAUUACUGGGCGUAAAGCGCGCGUAGGCGGGUCGUUAAGUCGGGGGUGAAAUCCUGAGGCUCAACCUCAGAACUGCCUUCGAUACUGGCAAUCUCGAGUCCGGAAGAGGUUGGUGGAACAGCUAGUGUAGAGGUGAAAUGCGUAGAUAUCAGGAGGAACACCGAUGGCGAAGGCAGCUGCCUGGCCUAACACUGACGCUGAGGUGCGAAAGCGUGGGGAGCGAACGGG
This 253-nucleotide ribosomal RNA is filed under the name uncultured bacterium. RNAcentral's name for it is "partial 16S ribosomal RNA". It matches the Rfam family "Bacterial small subunit ribosomal RNA", at positions 524 to 776 of the family's 1533-position model. The record is from RNAcentral.